This is a long non-coding RNA of Anoplophora glabripennis (Asian longhorned beetle), 777 nucleotides long. RefSeq lists it as uncharacterized. The record is from RefSeq and is a predicted model, not a curated record. Lineage: Eukaryota; Metazoa; Arthropoda; Insecta; Coleoptera; Cerambycidae. The transcript is spliced from 3 exons.
UGAUACAAUAACCCUAAAUAUCUGUUCUGUAUCACGUUAUUUUUUGUUAAACUAAGUAGUUUGUGGUGUUAACAAUGCAUUGAAUUAAAUCAUAAAAAUUAAUCGAACAGUUGACAAAUAUUUGGUGUUUUAGUUACCUUCGAUAGCAGCUCGAAAUAUUUAUCGAGUCGUGUUUGAGAAAUUUAAGUGUUGUUAUAGACUAUUUUGAAUAGAAAUCUGCAAAUUAUCGAUUUAUGAUGAUUUUAACAAGACUGCAAUCUGGGAUGUUAUUUAUAAAAAGUAUAGAGACAAGAAAAACACGAGUGCUUCUGUGAAGACUUUGCAAAAAACUCCAGGAACGGAAUAUCUUCAAUGGUUGCAUAUAAUCCCUAUGGAAGAUUGUUGGAGUGCCCAAUGAAGCUUGUACAUUUUUUACAUGACCUUAAAAGGAAUACAUAUAUCACUUCGUUUUAUUUUCCUUGGUAUGUUGUACUUUGUGCUGGUUGUGCCACUUGAUUUAUGCAGAGCUGCCGUUAUAUUUCAAAAACAUGGGAUAUGGAGAAAUGAAUCAAGACUUUUUCCUACAUUGGUAUAUCAGUUUUGGUCAAUUACCUUCCAUUAUUGUCAUGCGAGUUAUCACAGCACUAUCCUGAGCAAAGUUCCAAAGACAGUCUCCAAAAUAUCUGACAUACAAGAGUGGCAAAGUUGGAAUAAUGUUCAUUACGAAAACACAUUUUUGAAAACAGUUGUAAGACUUAGUAUAAAUGUAACUUAAAUGUAAAAUUAAAUAUAUUUUAU